This 752-nucleotide long non-coding RNA is filed under the name Gallus gallus (chicken). RNAcentral describes it as "lncRNA (ENSGALG00010018364.1)". The record is from RNAcentral. Lineage: Eukaryota; Metazoa; Chordata; Aves; Galliformes; Phasianidae.
AGUGUUGGAUUUCAUCAUCAGUUUUCCUUGUGGUUAUCUUCAACACUAAAUAAAGUCUAAUGUCACCUGAGUCGUGUUUUGACACACUGGUUUCAGUUGAGAGACAUCAAAGUGCUUGAUUAAAUAGAAGCUCUCCUGUUGCUUCCCAAGAUGGAUAUGGAGUAUGUGAUAAAUGGCCAAUAGCUUGCCUGACAUUGUCCAAAGGCUGUAAACACUAACUGAAUCCCCAUUCUCACCUGCUGCCGGUUACUGCUUCCUGCUCUCUCCUUGUCUUACUGAUGUCGUUUUGCAAACCAUUUUGGAACACCUUAAAUUUGAGAUGGCAGCAAAGGGGCAAUUUGACAAAAAGAUGUCUGAAGCGAAGGUGUGUCGCUGAAUUCCUCCAUGUAGAAGCAACUGCACUCAUUGAUGUUUAUUGAUGCUUGCUGAACGUUUAUGGAGACUUAACAGUGGAUGUGAGCACAGUGAGGAGGUAAACUACAGACCUCCAUCUGAAGGGAGAGGAGAUAGUUUAUUCAGUGAAAAUGUUUAUAAUGCAGAUCCUGGCAAACUACGUUAUCCAAAGGAUUUAAAAAUUCUUAAGCUUUAUAAAGAGCAUGCUAACAAGUCAUCUUGAGCUGAAUGCAGCUGUACCCUGGCUGAGAGAAUGUCUUCACUGUCAGCUUUCUCAGACUGUAUAGAGAAGGUAAGAAAUAAAGCCGAAGUAUGAAAAUGAUUGUCUUUAAAUUCUGGUACUUAGCCAGAUACCCAAC